RNAcentral lists this unclassified non-coding RNA (219 nucleotides) under uncultured Tomentella. Its description in RNAcentral is "sequence contains ITS2". Lineage: Eukaryota; Fungi; Basidiomycota; Agaricomycetes; Thelephorales; Thelephoraceae. The record is from RNAcentral.
ACACCUCAACUCUCAUGGCUUGCCAUGAUGAGCUUGGACUUUUGGGGGUCUUGCUGGCCUGGGGUCAGCUCCUCUCAAAUGAAUUAGCUUGCCAGUGUUUGGUGGCAUCGCAGGUGUGAUAACUAUCUACGCUUGUGGUUUUCCACCAGGUAACCUUCUGCAACGAAGGUUCGCUGGGGCUCAUAAAUGUCUCUCCUCGGCGAGGACAGCUCUCUGAAC